RNAcentral lists this transfer RNA (87 nucleotides) under Mycolicibacterium mageritense. Its description in RNAcentral is "tRNA-Arg". Lineage: Bacteria; Bacillati; Actinomycetota; Actinomycetes; Mycobacteriales; Mycobacteriaceae. The record is from RNAcentral.
UGUGCUCUGGUACGCCGUGCACGAACCCUACGGCGGUCCGGACGGACUGAUCCGGCUCAUCGACGCGUGCCACGCGCGCGGGCUCGG